Molecule: ribosomal RNA, 245 nt
Filed under: uncultured bacterium
Lineage: Bacteria
Description: partial 16S ribosomal RNA
Rfam family: Bacterial small subunit ribosomal RNA
Source: RNAcentral
UAGGGAGCGAGCGUUGUCCGGAAUUACUGGGUGUAAAGGGAGCGUAGGCGGGGCUUUAAGUCAGGUGUGAAAACUACGGGCUCAAAUCGUAGACUGCACUUGAAACUGAGGCUCUUGAGUGGAGCAGAGGCAGGCGGAAUUCCCGGUGUAGCGGUGAAAUGCGUAGAUAUCGGGAGGAACAUCAGUGGCGAAGGCGGCCUGCUGGGCUUUUACUGACGCUGAGGCUCGAAAGCGUGGGGAGCAAA